Molecule: non-coding RNA, 26 nt
Filed under: Cricetulus griseus (Chinese hamster)
Lineage: Eukaryota; Metazoa; Chordata; Mammalia; Rodentia; Cricetidae
Source: RNAcentral
UAGAUGUGUUAGACCAAAUGGGGACG